CGGACGGGUGAGUAACGCGUGAGAAUCUGGCUUCAGGUCUGGGACAACCACUGGAAACGGUGGCUAAUACCGGAUGUGCCGAAAGGUGAAAGGUUAACUGCCUGAAGAUGAGCUCGCGUCUGAUUAGCUAGUUGGUAGAGUAAAAGCCUACCAAGGCGACGAUCAGUAGCUGGUCUGAGAGGACGACCAGCCACACUGGGACUGAGACACGGCCCAGACUCCUACGGGAGGCAGCAGUGGGGAAUUUUCCGCAAUGGGCGAAAGCCUGACGGAGCAAUACCGCGUGAGGGAGGAAGGCUCUUGGGUCGUAAACCUCUUUUCUCAGGGAAGAACACAAUGACGGUACCUGAGGAAUAAGCAUCGGCUAACUCCGUGCCAGCAGCCGCGGUAAUACGGAGGAUGCAGGCGUUAUCCGGAAUGAUUGGGCGUAAAGCGUCCGCAGGUGGCAAUGUAAGUCUGCUGUUAAAGAGUCUAGCUCAACUAGAUAAGAGCAGUGGAAACUACAUAGCUAGAGUACGUUCGGGGCAGAGGGAAUUCCUGGUGUAGCGGUGAAAUGCGUAGAGAUCAGGAAGAACACCAGUGGCGAAGGCGCUCUGCUAGGCCGUAACUGACACUGAGGGACGAAAGCUAGGGGAGCGAAUGGGAUUAGAUACCCCAGUAGUC
This 663-nucleotide ribosomal RNA is filed under the name uncultured cyanobacterium. Its description in RNAcentral is "bacterial SSU rRNA". It matches the Rfam family "Bacterial small subunit ribosomal RNA", at positions 99 to 795 of the family's 1533-position model. Lineage: Bacteria; Bacillati; Cyanobacteriota. The record is from RNAcentral.